CCUGGCUCAGGAUGAACGCUAGCUACAGGCUUAACACAUGCAAGUCGAGGGGCAGCAUGGUCUUAGCUUGCUAAGGCCGAUGGCGACCGGCGCACGGGUGAGUAACACGUAUCCAACCUGCCGUCUACUCUUGGACAGCCUUCUGAAAGGAAGAUUAAUACAAGAUGGCAUCAUGAGUCCGCAUGUUCACAUGAUUAAAGGUAUUCCGGUAGACGAUGGGGAUGCGUUCCAUUAGAUAGUAGGCGGGGUAACGGCCCACCUAGUCUUCGAUGGAUAGGGGUUCUGAGAGGAAGGUCCCCCACAUUGGAACUGAGACACGGUCCAAACUCCUACGGGAGGCAGCAGUGAGGAAUAUUGGUCAAUGGGCGAGAGCCUGAACCAGCCAAGUAGCGUGAAGGAUGACUGCCCUAUGGGUUGUAAACUUCUUUUAUAAAGGAAUAAAGUCGGGUAUGGAUACCCGUUUGCAUGUACUUUAUGAAUAAGGAUCGGCUAACUCCGUGCCAGCAGCCGCGGUAAUACGGAGGAUCCGAGCGUUAUCCGGAUUUAUUGGGUUUAAAGGGAGCGUAGAUGGAUGUUUAAGUCAGUUGUGAAAGUUUGCGGCUCAACCGUAAAAUUGCAGUUGAUACUGGAUAUCUUGAGUGCAGUUGAGGCAGGCGGAAUUCGUGGUGUAGCGGUGAAAUGCUUAGAUAUCACGAAGAACUCCGAUUGCGAAGGCAGCCUGCUAAGCUGCAACUGACAUUGAGGCUCGAAAGUGUGGGUAUCAAACAGGAUUAGAUACCCUGGUAGUCCACACGGUAAACGAUGAAUACUCGCUGUUUGCGAUAUACAGCAAGCGGCCAAGCGAAAGCGUUAAGUAUUCCACCUGGGGAGUACGCCGGCAACGGUGAAACUCAAAGGAAUUGACGGGGGCCCGCACAAGCGGAGGAACAUGUGGUUUAAUUCGAUGAUACGCGAGGAACCUUACCCGGGCUUAAAUUGCAGAUGAAUUACGGUGAAAGCCGUAAGCCGCAAGGCAUCUGUGAAGGUGCUGCAUGGUUGUCGUCAGCUCGUGCCGUGAGGUGUCGGCUUAAGUGCCAUAACGAGCGCAACCCUUGUUGUCAGUUACUAACAGGUUCCGCUGAGGACUCUGACAAGACUGCCAUCGUAAGAUGUGAGGAAGGUGGGGAUGACGUCAAAUCAGCACGGCCCUUACGUCCGGGGCUACACACGUGUUACAAUGGGGGGUACAGAGGGCCGCUACCACGCGAGUGGAUGCCAAUCCCCAAAACCUCUCUCAGUUCGGACUGGAGUCUGCAACCCGACUCCACGAAGCUGGAUUCGCUAGUAAUCGCGCAUCAGCCACGGCGCGGUGAAUACGUUCCCGGGCCUU
This 1369-nucleotide ribosomal RNA is filed under the name uncultured bacterium. RNAcentral's name for it is "16S ribosomal RNA". It matches the Rfam family "Bacterial small subunit ribosomal RNA", at positions 18 to 1382 of the family's 1533-position model. The record is from RNAcentral.